AAAUUGAAGAGUUUGAUCAUGGCUCAGAUUGAACGCUGGCGGCAGGCCUAACACAUGCAAGUCGAACGGUAACAGGAAGCAGCUUGCUGCUUUGCUGACGAGUGGCGGACGGGUGAGUAAUGUCUGGGAAACUGCCUGAUGGAGGGGGAUAACUACUGGAAACGGUGGCUAAUACCGCAUAACGUCGCAAGACCAAAGAGGGGGACCUUCGGGCCUCUUGCCAUCAGAUGUGCCCAGAUGGGAUUAGCUUGUUGGUGAGGUAACGGCUCACCAAGGCGACGAUCCCUAGCUGGUCUGAGAGGAUGACCAGCCACACUGGAACUGAGACACGGUCCAGACUCCUACGGGAGGCAGCAGUGGGGAAUAUUGCACAAUGGGCGCAAGCCUGAUGCAGCCAUGCCGCGUGUAUGAAGAAGGCCUUCGGGUUGUAAAGUACUUUCAGCGGGGAGGAAGGUGUUGUGGUUAAUAACCGCAGCAAUUGACGUUACCCGCAGAAGAAGCACCGGCUAACUCCGUGCCAGCAGCCGCGGUAAUACGGAGGGUGCAAGCGUUAAUCGGAAUUACUGGGCGUAAAGCGCACGCAGGCGGUCUGUCAAGUCGGAUGUGAAAUCCCCGGGCUCAACCUGGGAACUGCAUUCGAAACUGGCAGGCUUGAGUCUUGUAGAGGGGGGUAGAAUUCCAGGUGUAGCGGUGAAAUGCGUAGAGAUCUGGAGGAAUACCGGUGGCGAAGGCGGCCCCCUGGACAAAGACUGACGCUCAGGUGCGAAAGCGUGGGGAGCAAACAGGAUUAGAUACCCUGGUAGUCCACGCCGUAAACGAUGUCUACUUGGAGGUUGUGCCCUUGAGGCGUGGCUUCCGGAGCUAACGCGUUAAGUAGACCGCCUGGGGAGUACGGCCGCAAGGUUAAAACUCAAAUGAAUUGACGGGGGCCCGCACAAGCGGUGGAGCAUGUGGUUUAAUUCGAUGCAACGCGAAGAACCUUACCUGGUCUUGACAUCCACGGAAGAAUUCAGAGAUGGAUUUGUGCCUUCGGGAACCGUGAGACAGGUGCUGCAUGGCUGUCGUCAGCUCGUGUUGUGAAAUGUUGGGUUAAGUCCCGCAACGAGCGCAACCCUUAUCCUUUGUUGCCAGCGAUUCGGUCGGGAACUCAAAGGAGACUGCCAGUGAUAAACUGGAGGAAGGUGGGGAUGACGUCAAGUCAUCAUGGCCCUUACGACCAGGGCUACACACGUGCUACAAUGGCGCAUACAAAGAGAAGCGACCUCGCGAGAGCAAGCGGACCUCAUAAAGUGCGUCGUAGUCCGGAUUGGAGUCUGCAACUCGACUCCAUGAAGUCGGAAUCGCUAGUAAUCGUGGAUCAGAAUGCCACGGUGAAUACGUUCCCGGGCCUUGUACACACCGCCCGUCACACCAUGGGAGUGGGUUGCAAAAGAAGUAGGUAGCUUAACCUUCGGGAGGGCGCUUACCACUUUGUGAUUCAUGACUGGGGUGAAGUCGUAACAAGGUAACCGUAGGGGAACCUGCGGUUGGAUCACCUCCUUACCU
Molecule: ribosomal RNA, 1545 nt
Filed under: Salmonella enterica subsp. enterica serovar Montevideo
Lineage: Bacteria; Pseudomonadati; Pseudomonadota; Gammaproteobacteria; Enterobacterales; Enterobacteriaceae
Description: bacterial SSU rRNA
Rfam family: Bacterial small subunit ribosomal RNA
Source: RNAcentral